GAAAUGCGAUAAGUAAUGUGAAUUGCAGAAUUCAGUGAAUCAUCGAAUCUUUGAACGCACCUUGCGCCCCUUGGCAUUCCGAGGGGCACGCCUGUUUGAGUGUCGUGAACUCCUCCACCCUCUACCUUUUUCGAAAGGCAUUGGGCUGGGAUUUGGGAGCUUGCGGGUCCCUGGCCGAUCCGCUCUCCUUGAAUGCAUUAGCGAAGCCCUAGCGGCCUUGGUGUGAUAGUCAUCUACGCCUCGGCUUAGCGAACAUGUGGGAGUCGCUUCCAAUCGUCUCGCAAGGGACAACACACUACCAACUUGACCUCAAAUCAGGCGGGACUACCCGCUGAACUUAA
Molecule: unclassified non-coding RNA, 341 nt
Filed under: uncultured Peniophoraceae
Lineage: Eukaryota; Fungi; Basidiomycota; Agaricomycetes; Russulales; Peniophoraceae
Description: sequence contains ITS1
Rfam family: 5.8S ribosomal RNA (bases 1-105)
Source: RNAcentral